AAGAGUUAGGGUCUUCUCGGCCCGACCUCCCAACCCUUUGUCUAUUGAACCUCUGUUGCUUCGGCGGACCCGUCCCUUCGGGGACCGCCGGAGGACCGUCGCAAGGCGUCCUCUGGUCCGCGUCCGCCGGUGGCCGACCAUUUAAACUCUUGAUUAAAUCAUGUUAUGCUGUCUAAGUUAAAAUUAAAUAAAGCAAA
Molecule: unclassified non-coding RNA, 197 nt
Filed under: uncultured fungus
Lineage: Eukaryota; Fungi
Description: sequence contains ITS1, 5.8S rRNA gene
Source: RNAcentral